RNAcentral lists this long non-coding RNA (612 nucleotides) under Bemisia tabaci. Its description in RNAcentral is "lncRNA ENSSSA2NGG010101". The record is from RNAcentral. Lineage: Eukaryota; Metazoa; Arthropoda; Insecta; Hemiptera; Aleyrodidae.
CAUAUCUCGGAGGUUUGCAAUUCCGUACAUUUGUUCCGCUCUGCGUUAAAACUAUUCAUCUCGCAUUUAGUUUGCAAUCCUAAGGAACUAUGGACAUCAACCAACAUCGUGGCUAUAGAUUGUUGCCAGCAUUUUAACACUUUCAUGGUUGAGUGUGCUGUUGCAUAUAAAACAUGGGCUGGCGACUCUUUCAAACAGCUGCGAUUGAUAGCGUCAGUCUGCGAGUUCUUAGACAAUCUUGUACCUGUCAGCAUAGCAAGGAGGGUAGUCCCAGAGGUUCUGCAAGAAAUUCUGUCCCAUGCAAUUUUAGAUCCUAUAUUGCUUUUCCUGUAUCCUAAAUUGCACGGUUUCAUCUGCCAAUAUGGUAACAUUUUUCAGAAGUCGGAAAUUUCAGUCUACAACGAGCUGACGGUAGUCAAGGAAUCUAUGUCGUCUGCAAGCAUAUUUCUGCAAUCGGGUUUAACCGUGCCCAUCUCUGAUGCUCUUCAAAAUAUGUCAGCUGCCCUUCUAAGCAUACCUUUCCAUCUCAAAUUUGAAUUGAUCCGCUCUUUUAUUUAUUUCUGCUCCCAAAAGAAUCAUUUCCAGCAAGGAGGACAUAGAGCUUUCAAUUGA